CAGCCGUAAACUAUGCGCGUUAGGUGUAUCGGUGACCACGAGUCACCGAGGUGCCGAAGGGAAACCGUGAAACGUGCCGCCUGGGAAGUACGGUCGCAAGGCUGAAACUUAAAGGAAUUGGCGGGGGGAGCACCACAACGGGUGGAGCCUGCGGUUUAAUUGGACUCAACGCCGGGAAGCUCACCGGAUAAGACAGCGGAAUGAUUGCCGGGCUGAAGACCCUGCAUGACUAGCUGAGAGGAGGUGCAUGGCGUAGACGUCU
Molecule: ribosomal RNA, 262 nt
Filed under: uncultured archaeon
Lineage: Archaea
Description: partial 16S ribosomal RNA
Rfam family: Archaeal small subunit ribosomal RNA
Source: RNAcentral